RNAcentral lists this ribosomal RNA (433 nucleotides) under uncultured bacterium. RNAcentral describes it as "partial 16S ribosomal RNA". It matches the Rfam family "Bacterial small subunit ribosomal RNA", at positions 29 to 507 of the family's 1533-position model. The record is from RNAcentral.
AGCGAACGCUGGCGGCAGGCCUAACACAUGCAAGUCGAACGAACUCUUCGGAGUUAGUGGCGGACGGGUGAGUAACACGUGGGAACGUGCCUUUAGGUUCGGAAUAACUCAGGGAAACUUGUGCUAAUACCGAAUGUGCCCUUCGGGGGAAAGAUUUAUCGCCUUUAGAGCGGCCCGCGUCUGAUUAGCUAGUUGGUGAGGUAAAGGCUCACCAAGGCGACGAUCAGUAGCUGGUCUGAGAGGAUGAUCAGCCACAUUGGGACUGAGACACGGCCCAAACUCCUACGGGAGGCAGCAGUGGGGGAUCUUGCGCAAUGGGGGAAAGGCUGACGCAGCCAUGGCGCGUGAAUGAUGAAGGUCUUAGGAUUGUAAAAUUCUUUCACCGGGGACGAUAAUGACGGUACCCGGAGAAGAAGCCCCGGCUAACUUCGUG